UGCGUAGGUGGACUGAGCAAGUCGUAGAUGAAAUCCCCGGGCUCAACUCGGGAACUGUCUCCGAAACUGCUUAGCUUGAGGAUGGUUGAGGAAAGCGGAAUUCCCGGUGGAGCGGUGAAAUGCGUAGAUAUUGGGAAGAACACCAGUGGCGGAAGGCGGCUACCUGAACCGGAACUGACGCUGAGGCGCGAAAGCUAGGGGAGCGAAUG
Molecule: ribosomal RNA, 209 nt
Filed under: uncultured bacterium
Lineage: Bacteria
Description: partial 16S ribosomal RNA
Rfam family: Bacterial small subunit ribosomal RNA
Source: RNAcentral